This 1961-nucleotide small RNA is filed under the name Pan troglodytes (chimpanzee). Its description in RNAcentral is "processed transcript". The record is from RNAcentral. Lineage: Eukaryota; Metazoa; Chordata; Mammalia; Primates; Hominidae.
AUGUGGUGUGUCUCAAUGAUGUUUCCUGCUACUUUUCCCUUCUGGAGGGUGGUCGGCCAGAAGACAAGUUAGAAUUCACCUUCAAGCUGUACGACACGGACAGAAAUGGGAUCCUGGACAGCUCAGAAGUGGACAAAAUUAUCCUACAGAUGAUGCGAGUGGCUGAAUACCUGGAUUGGGAUGUGUCUGAGCUGAGGCCGAUUCUUCAGGAGAUGAUGAAAGAGAUUGACUAUGAUGGCAGUGGCUCUGUCUCUCAAGCUGAGUGGGUCCGGGCUGGGGCCACCACCGUGCCACUGCUAGUGCUGCUGGGUCUGGAGAUGACUCUGAAGGACGAUGGACAGCACAUGUGGAGGCCCAAGAGGUUCCCCAGACCAGUCUACUGCAAUCUGUGCGAGUCAAGCAUUGGUCUUGGCAAACAGGGACUGAGCUGUAACCUCUGUAAGUACACUGUUCACGACCAGUGUGCCAUGAAAGCCCUGCCUUGUGAAGUCAGCACCUAUGCCAAGUCUCGGAAGGACAUUGGUGUCCAAUCACAUGUGUGGGUGCGAGGAGGCUGUGAGUCCGGGCGCUGCGACCGCUGUCAGAAAAAGAUCCGGAUCUACCACAGUCUGACCGGGCUGCAUUGUGUAUGGUGCCACCUAGAGAUCCACGAUGACUGCCUGCAAGCGGUGGGCCAUGAGUGUGACUGUGGGCUGCUCCGGGAUCACAUCCUGCCUCCAUCUUCCAUCUAUCCCAGUGUCCUGGCCUCUGGACCGGAUCGUAAAAAUAGCAAAACAAGCCAGAAGACCAUGGAUGAUUUAAAUUUGAGCACCUCUGAGGCUCUGCGGAUUGACCCUGUUCCUAACACCCACCCACUUCUCGUCUUUGUCAAUCCUAAGAGUGGCGGGAAGCAGGGGCAGAGGGUGCUCUGGAAGUUCCAGUAUAUAUUAAACCCUCGACAGGUGUUCAACCUCCUAAAGGAUGGUCCUGAGAUAGGGCUCCGAUUAUUCAAGGAUGUUCCUGAUAGCCGGAUUUUGGUGUGUGGUGGAGAUGGCACAGUAGGCUGGAUUCUAGAGACCAUUGACAAAGCUAACUUGCCAGUUUUGCCUCCUGUUGCUGUGUUGCCCCUGGGUACUGGAAAUGAUCUGGCUCGAUGCCUAAGAUGGGGAGGAGGGUAUGAAGGACAGAAUCUGGCAAAGAUCCUCAAGGAUUUAGAGAUGAGUAAAGUGGUACAUAUGGAUCGAUGGUCUGUGGAGGUGAUACCUCAACAAACUGAAGAAAAAAGUGACCCAGUCCCCUUUCAAAUCAUCAAUAACUACUUCUCUAUUGGCGUGGAUGCCUCUAUUGCUCAUCGAUUCCACAUCAUGCGAGAGAAAUAUCCGGAGAAGUUCAACAGCAGAAUGAAGAACAAGCUAUGGUACUUCGAAUUUGCCACAUCUGAAUCCAUCUUCUCAACAUGCAAAAAGCUGGAGGAGUCUUUGACAGUUGAGAUCUGUGGGAAACCGCUGGAUCUGAGCAACCUGUCCCUAGAAGGCAUCGCAGUGCUAAACAUCCCUAGCAUGCAUGGUGGCUCCAACCUCUGGGGUGAUACCAGGAGACCCCAUGGGGAUAUCUAUGGGAUCAACCAGGCCUUAGGUGCUACAGCUAAAGUCAUCACCGACCCUGAUAUCCUGAAAACCUGUGUACCAGACCUAAGUGACAAGAGACUGGAAGUGGUCGGGCUGGAGGGUGCAAUUGAGAUGGGCCAAAUCUAUACCAAGCUCAAGAAUGCCGGACGUCGGCUGGCCAAGUGCUCUGAGAUCACCUUCCACACCACAAAAACCCUUCCCAUGCAAAUUGAUGGAGAACCCUGGAUGCAGACGCCCUGUACAAUCAAGAUCACCCACAAGAACCAGAUGCCCAUGCUCAUGGGCCCACCCCCCCGCUCCACCAAUUUCUUUGGCUUCUUGAGCUAAGGGGGACACCCUUGGCCUCCAAGCCAG